RNAcentral lists this ribosomal RNA (468 nucleotides) under uncultured bacterium. Its description in RNAcentral is "partial 16S ribosomal RNA". It matches the Rfam family "Bacterial small subunit ribosomal RNA", at positions 28 to 507 of the family's 1533-position model. The record is from RNAcentral.
GACGAACGCUGGCGGCGUGCUUAACACAUGCAAGUCGAACGGAAAGGCCCUGCUUUUGUGGGGUGCUCGAGUGGCGAACGGGUGAGUAACACGUGAGUAACCUGCCCUUGACUUUGGGAUAACUUCUGGAAACUGGGGCUAAUACCGGAUAGGAGCUCCUGCUGCAUGGUGGGGGUUGGAAAGUUUCGGCGGUGUGGGAUGGACUCGCGGCUUAUCAGCUUGUUGGUGGGGUAGUGGCUUACCAAGGCAUUGACGGGUAGCCGGCCUGCGAGGGUGACCGGCCACAUUGGGACUGAGAUAGGGCCCAGACUCCAACGGGAGGCAGCGGUGGGGAGUAUUGCGCAAUGGGCGGAAGCCUGAUGCAGCAACGCCGCGUGCGGGAUGACGGCCUUCGGGUUGUAAACCGCGUUCGCCUGUGACGAAGCGUGAGUGACGGUAAUGGGUAAAGAAGCACCGGCUAACUACGUG